Molecule: long non-coding RNA, 546 nt
Filed under: Musa acuminata (dwarf banana)
Lineage: Eukaryota; Viridiplantae; Streptophyta; Magnoliopsida; Zingiberales; Musaceae
Description: long non-coding RNA (MACU_LNC002317)
Source: RNAcentral
GAAGCUGUGGGGAAACCAACCGUAUUCUCUUCUCUUCCAUCUGCCAUGGAACCGUUGUGUUCAGGAGCUGGGCGGGAAAGGAAAGAACUUGGAUUUGAACCAUAGCUCUCCUUGAAUAUCUGCUAAUCAGAUACCUUUUACUUGUUCAUGGAUUAGGUAGUUUUCUAGAACUUGUUUCCAAUGGGAAAGGCUGGAAGUUUUAUUUUCUUCUACUUAUAAUCGACUAUUGUUGCUUGAAAUGAACUGGAAAGGGGACAAUUUCAUCUAUGUGCAGUUUAAUGGUUUUGCUUUUGUAGUGAGCAUCAUAGUUCUGGGCCUUCUGGCCAAGUUACUUUUGGAGUUUCCACAUUCUUUUAUUUUAUUUUAUUUAUAUGUACUCUUUGACUUUUUGAAUCUCAUUCUCCAUUGGAACCCUUCCCAACUGGAUUGUCUUAAAGAACAAGUAUCUCUGUAAUUUUCAACCUGCUGUGUUUCAUUUAUGGAAUAUUACAAGUUAGUAGGUUUUUUGUCAAUUACAUUUAAGUUUUAACAGUUGAUAAAGAACAU